RNAcentral lists this transfer RNA (67 nucleotides) under Prymnesium neolepis. Lineage: Eukaryota; Haptophyta; Prymnesiales; Prymnesiaceae. The record is from RNAcentral.
UCUAAUUUGUUCCCAUGCUUCGCUUACUGGCCAAAAGUAAUAAGGUGUAAGAGGAAAAUUACCUCCA